AUCGAUGGCACGUUUUUCGAUGAAGUUGUUCCUUCGGCGCGGGAGCUCCUUACUCGUGACAAAGAAGGGAAGCCACUUCUCCCCAAGAGUUGCAGGCACCUCUUUUCCGCCUACUACCAUCUUUGGACGAAUGACCAAGGGGUAUGGAUGAAGGACUGGAUUCGCUUCUGGUUCAAAGGAGAGGCUAGGUAUAUGGCUCCUCCGAGUAGAGCGAAUAGAAGGAAGACCACAUCUAAACCAAAAAUGACUUACAACCCUUCUGGAAGCGUGGAGCCUUACGACCUUGCCGAUACGAAUGACUUCAAUGUCCCUUUUGACACCCUGGGUAUCCCAGGGUUUCUAAGAAAGGAAACCUAUAUUGCGGCAUUCAUAACGUGUUGGAUUUGCAAGUUCCUUUUGCCAAGCAAAAAGGUCGACCGUAUUCGCCCAAGUGUCUUCAAGGUUGCAUGCUUAAUGGCUACAGGGAAAAGAUUUUGUCUUGCAAUUUCCGUCCUUGCGAGCAUAUAUCAUGGGUUGAGGGAGAUCGUCCACGCCCCUAACCUUGGAGAAUGUGGGGUAACUUUUCCAAUCCAUUACGUCUAUGCUUGGAUUGGCCAAUACUUCGAUGUAUAUUACGAAAAUCAUCAAGUGAGUAGCCACCACGCGCGCAUGACAAGAUUUAGUGGUGAGAAAAUGACAAUAUUUUAUGGCCAAUUGGAAGCUGAGGAAAUUUUCAAAGAAACGAAUCCUUUGAUGCUUCCUAAAUUGUACUGGACUGAGAAUGAAGAAAAGGCGUUGAUCGAUGACGGAUCCUUAUCAUCAAGACUCACGAGCUACUUCAUUAGUCAACGCUCUUGCCAUUUAACUCUACGUAAGGACAAUACUUUCAUUAUUGAAAAAUAUAAUCCUUGCAGGUUCAGCAGACAAUUCGAUUUCUGUCAGGACAUCCCCAACAACUUGAAAGAGAUCACUCACACUUAUACUUUGGGUGAGGCUAUUCAACUAUGGGAUUCUUCGGUUCACACGCAGACGCGAUCUCGGAUGACUAUACCCACACACAGGAAGCAUCCGUUGAUCACAAAAGACUAUGAAGCCUGGUGGUCGACUCGGUCAAAUAGUGUCUCUUCAACUCCCUUAAAAUUCACCGUUAAGAUCUCUCAGCAAUCAGCGAAGAAGGGUAAGGUUACCUCCGCCAACGAGUCAGUGCAUCCUAAUGGAGUUAUAGAGAUUGUAACGGGUCUUACCUCAUCCACCUUGCGGAAGAACAAAACCAUUAGCAGCCCCUUGGAAAACAUUGUUACAAGAAAUAAGUCUUCCAAGGACUCUCGACAGGCCAUCAAAGAGGCGCAACCAGUGAUUCCAGCAAAGAAGAUGCCGCCCAAGGUUUCAAAAUCUUUAUCAGUGACUCACCCAGAAGAAAAUGUCGAAAUUGAAACGAUGGACGAUCGUGAUUCUCUCGAGGCUAUAGAACAAGAAGGGACUCAAGCUCAGGGCAUCUAAUCUACCCAAAGAGGAGCCCAUUCGUUGGCGAGUGGCAGUAGUAGCCAAGACCGUCAUUGGAACCGAUCGAAGAAGAGGACAUCUUCUGAUUUGGAGGAAGUUUCCUUUUCACCACCGUCGGUUGGAGUGUCACCACUUAAGGUAAUCAUAUCUUCCUUUUUUUUUUUUUAAACCCUCAUAACAUUUUUUUUCCCAACUCCCACUUCUUGAAUUCCACCAAGAAGAUGUUGGUACCAACUCACCACUUGAACUUGAGACUAAUGUUAUAAUUUCAAACAAGAAAGGUGACGAAGUCGUUAUCAGCAUUCUAAAACAACCUACCCCCAGUGGAGGUGCCUUGUCAAAGAAGGAGCUGACUAAUUUGCAUGAAAUCCGGAAAAAAUCUAAGGUAGCAUUGGUUUCAGAAUUUCAUGGUCAAAAAUUGAUCCAAGCGCAUCGGAGAAAGUACUUGCAAAGUUUGUGGAUGGAUUUUUGCGGACAGAUUCUUGACACCCCAAUUGAGCAGAUUUCUUCUUUAAAAGAGUGUGCAGAGGAAAUCAUUGCGAAAAUCACAAGAACGGAUCCUACCAAUGGUCUCCCUUUAAAAAACCACUUGAUAGAAUUGUUUGCCAAGGCGGAGGCAUAUGAUCUUUUGGCAUCUUCAUCAUGGGAAAGGAUGAGCAAAGAAACACACGCAGAACUCCUUUCCAAAGCGACCAUCCAACUCGGGAGAGUUAAGGCAAAGGAAGAAGAACUAACGUGUCAUUUGCAAAGUCUUGAAGAAAAGUUACAAUCCAUUGAAGAUAGGAAGAAAGCUUUGCAACAGGAACUUAUUGAUUUGGAGAAACAAAGAAUGGAAAUCAGCUCAACCAUCGAUCAAAAGCAUGAGACCUUCAACGAGAUCCAGACCGAGAUAAGACAAGCACAUGAUGAGCUCUCUUCUAUUGAAAAUACCAGCAUCUUGACUGAUGACGCAGUGAAGGAACUUGAAGACAUGAAGUCUGCACUUGAAUCAUGCAAAAUAGCUGUAGUGGAUUAUAAAUUUGACAUUUAGACUUUUUACCAUGUCCUUUUCCUGAAUUUGUUCCAUUUUUUUUUUCAUGUAAUGAAUUUUUUUUUUGAAUAAAAUGCUUUCCGU
RNAcentral lists this long non-coding RNA (2596 nucleotides) under Coffea arabica (coffee). RNAcentral's name for it is "long non-coding RNA (CARA_LNC006613)". The record is from RNAcentral. Lineage: Eukaryota; Viridiplantae; Streptophyta; Magnoliopsida; Gentianales; Rubiaceae.